This is a long non-coding RNA of Myotis daubentonii (Daubenton's bat), 420 nucleotides long. RefSeq lists it as uncharacterized. Lineage: Eukaryota; Metazoa; Chordata; Mammalia; Chiroptera; Vespertilionidae. The record is from RefSeq and is a predicted model, not a curated record. The transcript has 2 exons.
UCACCAUCACCUGCUGGAGACUCGCUGCAAUGGUCAGUGAAGAAGAGGAGGUACGCACCCUGGAGUCCACUCUGGACCGCGCUUGGAGGCCUCAGGGUGUAACACUGGGGCACUCAAGUUUCCUGUGUACUUGGGAGUGUUAAUUCCACACGUAAAGGACUUCAUCGAGUACUGUGGCUCUGACUAUACCCCAAGUGAGGUGCUAAGGAUGGAGCUGGCUAUUUUGGACAAACUGCACUGGGAUCUCUGUAUUGGGACGCCGCUGGACUUCUUGAACAUCGUGAGUACAGGGAGUUUGCAGAGUUUACCCUAGACUCCUCUGUGCCUUUGGAACAGCUCACAACAAAGGACGGCCAAGCACAUGCGUGCACACGUCCUUGCACAUGCACCACAAAAAGGUGACCCACAAGGCUCAUGACA